GACGAACGCUGGCGGCGUGCUUAACACAUGCAAGUCGAACGCUGAAGCCUAGCUUGCUGGGUGGAUGAGUGGCGAACGGGUGAGUAACACGUGAGUAACCUGCCCUCUUCUUUGGGAUAACGCCCGGAAACGGGUGCUAAUACUGGAUAUUCACUGAUCUUCGCAUGGGGGUUGGUGGAAAGGUUUUUUCUGGUGGGGGAUGGGCUCGCGGCCUAUCAGCUUGUUGGUGGGGUGAUGGUCUACCAAGGCUUUGACGGGUAGCCGGCCUGAGAGGGUGACCGGUCACAUUGGGACUGAGAUACGGCCCAGACUCCUACGGGAGGCAGCAGUGGGGAAUAUUGCACAAUGGGCGAAAGCCUGAUGCANCGACGCCGCGUGAGGGAUGGAGGCCUUCGGGUUGUAAACCUCUUUCGCUCAUGGUCAAGCCGCAACUUAGGGUUGUGGUGAGGGUAGUGGGUAAAGAAGCGCCGGCUAACUACGUGCCCNCAGCCGCGGUAAUACGUANGGCGCGAGCGUUUGUCCNGAAUUAUUGNGCGUAAAGGNCU
Molecule: ribosomal RNA, 545 nt
Filed under: uncultured Actinomyces sp.
Lineage: Bacteria; Bacillati; Actinomycetota; Actinomycetes; Actinomycetales; Actinomycetaceae
Description: bacterial SSU rRNA
Rfam family: Bacterial small subunit ribosomal RNA
Source: RNAcentral